UCUGACAACCCUAGAGAUAGGGCUUCUCCUUCGGGAGCAGAGUGACAGGUGGUGCAUGGUUGUCGUCAGCUCGUGUCGUGAGAUGUUGGGUUAAGUCCCGCAACGAGCGCAACCCUUGAUCUUAGUUGCCAUCAUUAAGUUGGGCACUCUAAGGUGACUGCCGGUGACAAACCGGAGGAAGGUGGGGAUGACGUCAAAUCAUCAUGCCCCUUAUGACCUGGGCUACACACGUGCUACAAUGGACGGUACAAAGAGCUGCAAGAC
This 264-nucleotide ribosomal RNA is filed under the name Bacillus anthracis (anthrax bacterium). RNAcentral describes it as "partial 16S ribosomal RNA". It matches the Rfam family "Bacterial small subunit ribosomal RNA", at positions 990 to 1255 of the family's 1533-position model. The record is from RNAcentral. Lineage: Bacteria; Bacillati; Bacillota; Bacilli; Caryophanales; Bacillaceae.